UUCCGUGCCUACUUUUCUAACCCUAAGAUGAUUUCCCAGGCUAUUCCCGUCCAUCGCGUGGCGUUUUCUCUGCCUCCUUCCACCACGCCGCGGAAUAGUCGCGCGCUUCCUCUAACAACCCAAAGGAGGCAAGGGCACGACGCAUUCACGUCCCAUCCAAGCGCAGUUGCCGACCUUCCACGUGGUCUGAAGGCUGGGACGUUGUUUCAAGGGCUGGAAAACGUUGGCUUCGCGCCAUCGUUAGGGGAAUUUCCCCGCCAUCUUAGCCCUACACUGAAUCAGUGUCCGUUUCUUCUUAGCUGCGCUUUUGGAGAUGUUGUCUGUACAUUGAAUCGCUGCAGGCCUUGACUUGUCUCUCUGGCGUUUUUUUCAAUCGCCUGAGGGCUUCUGGUCCGCUUAUACACGA
This 406-nucleotide non-coding RNA is filed under the name Oscarella carmela. The record is from RNAcentral. Lineage: Eukaryota; Metazoa; Porifera; Homoscleromorpha; Homosclerophorida; Oscarellidae.